UAAAUUAUCAACCAAUGCAUCAUCAGAAGUCACAUUGAACCAUGUCCACCUAAAUGUAAUGAAAUAUAGUACACUAGAAAUAUAGUAUACUAUAGUGUUCCUAGAAGGAAGUGUUUAUUAAAGGAUGUACCUAAACAAGCAGGAAGACCAAGAAUCACAUUUUGCAAGGAUAUCCAACCAAGUCUGGAUCAAAGUAUCUGAAAAGUGCACCGCACCAUUAAACGCAUUACUAACCCGGGUGCACCGCCACUCGUUGGCCUGAGGAAAACAGUGAACAGUGGGCAAGGUGCAUGUAAGCGAGUAAAGACAGGAGAAUUAUAGCACAGUCAUUUCAAAGUGCCACACUUCCUGCUGCCAGUAGGACCGUAAAUGUAUAUUGUCAUAAAUAUUGUAGCCAGGACUAUUAUCAAACGUGAAGUUUGGAGCUGAUCGGUCAGUGUAUGCCUGAGUUCCAAACAUUGUAUGUCUGAGUUACAGCAACUUCCUUUUUAAUGGUGAUACAGCAAAAUUUGUCAGGCGCCACGGACACACCCUUCAACGAAAAUUUAACAUUGCAAAGGCCUUUAGAUUAUGCAUACCAAAUUUGGUGUUGAAUAGAAUAGCCUUUAUUUGUCACAUAUACAUUACAGCACAGUGAAAUUUGUUCUUCGCAUAUCCCAGUUUUUGCUUGGAAACUGGGGUCAGAGCGCAUGGUCAGCCAUGAU
Long non-coding RNA from Silurus meridionalis, 704 nucleotides. RefSeq lists it as uncharacterized. The transcript has 3 exons. The record is from RefSeq and is a predicted model, not a curated record. Lineage: Eukaryota; Metazoa; Chordata; Actinopteri; Siluriformes; Siluridae.